RNAcentral lists this ribosomal RNA (492 nucleotides) under uncultured bacterium. RNAcentral's name for it is "partial 16S ribosomal RNA". It matches the Rfam family "Bacterial small subunit ribosomal RNA", at positions 29 to 507 of the family's 1533-position model. The record is from RNAcentral.
AGUGAACGCUGGCGGCAGGCCUAACACAUGCAAGUCGAACGGCAGCACAGUAAGAGCUUGCUCUUACGGGUGGCGAGUGGCGGACGGGUGAGGCAUAGAUCGGAAUCUACUUUUUCGUGGGGGAUAACGUAGGGAAACUUACGCUAAUACCGCAUACGAUCUACGGGUUAAAGCAGGGGAUCUUCGGACCUUUGGCGAUUGAAUUAGCCGAUGUCGGAUUAGCUAGUUGGCGGGGUAAAGGCCCACCAAGGCGACGAUCCGUAGCAGGUCUGAGGGGAUGAUCAGCCACACUGGAACUGAGACACGGUCCAGACUCCUACGGGAGGCAGCAGUAGGGAAUAUUGGACAAUGGGCGCAAGCCUGAUCCAGCAACACCGCGUGGGUGAAGAAGGCCUUCGGGUUGUAAAGCUCUUUUAUUGGGAAAGAAAAGCAGCAGGUUAAUCCCCCGCUGUUCUGACGGUACCCAAAGAAUAAGCACCGGCUAACUUCGUG